AUGACGCUCAGGUCUCCGGCCUCACCGCUCUCAAUCAUCUUCUCCUUCUUCCAGUUUCGACAAAAUCAACAGUGUUUCUGCUUCGACUCUCUCUUCUACUUCUGUGAUAACCAUUCUUUAUCUCCCCCGAUCGGAGAAAACGAACAAAGAUGCAUACAAUAUCUUCAGUUUUUGAGGUGA
This is a non-coding RNA of Vicia faba (fava bean), 180 nucleotides long. NCBI's taxonomy places the organism in Eukaryota, Viridiplantae, Streptophyta, Magnoliopsida, Fabales, Fabaceae. The record is from the annotation of a GenBank genome assembly.